This is an RNA transcript of Magnolia sinica, 2773 nucleotides long. It is a transcript of the gene named gamma-tubulin complex component 2-like, with no coding region annotated. The record is from RefSeq and is a predicted model, not a curated record. NCBI's taxonomy places the organism in Eukaryota, Viridiplantae, Streptophyta, Magnoliopsida, Magnoliales, Magnoliaceae. The transcript is spliced from 23 exons.
UAACACUUACAGGGAUCCAAACGGCCUCUUUGUAUUUUUUUGGCUAGAGAACUCUCUCUCUCUCUCUCUCUCUCUCUCUGCGGCAUUUCAAUGGAAUCGGCUCCAUGCCCCACAACUCCAAGAUGGAACGUCGAUCGUCCAUUUCUGACGGGCAGAUUCCAUCAGGAAAUCAGGCCUUCUUCCAACACUCAAACAGCAGGUGGCGUGAAAGGAAUCGCUUCUGAUUCCUUCAGCAAUCGGGGCUCACAAAAUUCAGUUGGUUAUUAUCAUAACUCUGUUCAGGAGCUGUUAGUAAUUGAGGAUCUGCUUUCUGCCAUGGUUGGAAUUGAGGGGCGGUACAUUUCAAUCAAAAGAGUUUGUGGGAAGGACAGUCAAGUUGCCUUUCAGGUUGAUGCAUCCAUGGACUUGGCGCUGCAGGAAAUGGCAAAAAGGAUAUUUCCUCUUUGUGAAAACUUUCUGGCAAUUAGUCAGUUCGUUGAAUUGAGAUCGCAAUUCAAAAAUGGCUUGGUCAAUCAUGCCUUUGCUGCUGCACUAAGGGCUCUCCUUCUAGAUUACCAGGCCAUGGUGGCACAACUAGAGCACCAAUUCCGACUUGGAAGACUUUCCAUUCAAGGAUUAUGGUUUUUCUGUCAGCCUAUGAUGGGAUCAAUGCAUGCUUUGUCGAUUGUGAUAGAGAAGGCUUCUGCAAACGAUCUUUCAGGUUCAGCAGUUCUUAAUCUCUUGCAGAGCCAGGCCAAGGCAAUGGCUGGUGAUAAUGCAGUGAGGUCAUUGCUGGAGAAGAUGACUCAAUGUGCUAGUGCUGCAUAUCUCCGCAUAUUAGAAAGGUGGGUCUAUGAAGGGGUGAUUGAUGACCCUUAUGGUGAAUUCUUUAUUGCUGAGAACAAAUUACUGCAAAAGGAGAGUCUCACUCAAGAUUAUGAUGCUAAGUUCUGGCAACAACGUUACAGCCUCAAGGAUGGCAUUCCAAGCUUCCUCACGAGUGCUGCGGGGACAAUUUUGACAACUGGAAAAUAUUUAAAUGUCAUGAGAGAAUGUGGACAUAAUGUUCAGGUUCCCAUAUCAGAAAAUUCAAAAUUGACGAGCUUUGGAUCAAACCACCAUUAUCUUGAGUGUAUCAAAGCUGCUUAUGAUUUUGCAAGUGGCGAGCUCUUGAAUCUUAUUAAAGAAAAGUAUGAUCUUAUGGGGAAACUAAGGUCGUUGAAGCGGUAUCUUCUUCUUGAUCAGGGUGAUUUCUUGGUUCAUUUUAUGGAUAUAGCUCGAGAUGAGCUUGUUAAAAGGCCUGAUGAUAUAUCUGUAGAGAAACUGCAGUCUCUUCUAGACCUUGCUUUGCGGACCACAGCUGCAGCAGCAGAUCCUUGUCACGAGGAACUGACAUGUUGUGUGGAAAGAUCUUCUUUGCUUAAUGGAUUGGGGACUCUCAGUGAUCUGGAAUAUGGGAUGAAAAAUUUACUUUCUACUCCUGAAGUUCAGAAGCAUGUUUCUGAUGGUAAUGAUCAGACAGAGCCAGUAAGUGUCACUGGCCUAGAAACGUUCUCUCUGAGUUACAAGGUGCAAUGGCCAUUGUCCCUUGUGAUUUCCAGAAAAGCCUUGACAAAGUAUCAGUUGAUUUUCCGAUUCCUGUUUCAUUGUAAACACGUCAACCGGCAACUUUGUGGAGCAUGGCAAGUCCAUCAAGUAUGUGGGGUUCGUGCUUUUAACAAAUUGGGAACAGCCAUCUCCCGCUCUUCAGUGCUUUGCCGCAGCAUGCUUAAAUUUAUUAAUAGCCUUUUACAUUAUUUGACAUUUGAGGUUCUUGAACCCAAUUGGCAUGUGAUGCACAAUAGACUUCUAACUGCAAAGAGCAUAGAUGAGGUUAUCCAACACCACGAUUUUUUCCUUAAAAAAUGUCUGAAAGAGUGCCUGCUUCUCUUGCCUCAACUUCUCAAGAAGGUGGAGAAACUGAAAUCAAUAUGCCUUCAAUAUGCAGCAGCAAUUCAAUGGUUGGUACCAUCACUCUACAUUCCCAAGCCCGAGACCAUCGAGAGUUCUUCCAGACAGGAAAAAUCCAAACCUAGGAGAUCAAGGCAUAGACUCGAGGAAUUAAAUUUAUCUCCGGAGAACAUGUCUGUCAGUGAUUCUGUUAUGAAAUUUGAGAAGGAAUUCAAUACCGAACUUCAGAGUCUCAGACCCAUACUAAGCAGCAGUUCACAAGCUGAGCCGUACUUGACACAUCUCGCACAGUGUAUUCUGGGCAUCGGAAAUGAUUAAUUGCCAUCUUAUGACAACUUGCUUUCCUUUUUGUGGAUCAAUGGAUCUGACCGCGGUUUGCCAUAGGCUGAAUCCUCAAUGAAAUACAUGAUCACACAAGUGGUUCAUCUUUGUCAUGAUGGUUUGUGGUUGUCAUAACUAACGGCUAUAAGACAGUGACCUGCAUGGAGGCUGGCCGCGGGAAUAAAUACCAUGACGUAGUGUUGGUAUUGGAAUUCCCCCUCAAUCUCUACCAAGUAAUGAUUAUGGAAACUGCAAUUUUUAAUUGACCAUUUGUAGCAUUGAUGGAAAUGAUCAAGGUGCCCAUGCGGCCCACAUUCAUGUAUACGUGUGUGAUCAAGGAGAUGGAACAGCUCUAGCUGAAUAGCAACAUGGCCUCCAUUAAAAGCUGCUGUGAGCCCAGGUAUUUGCCCGAAAAACUAGGAGCUUUGGUUUAUAUGGGGGUAUAUUCAUCAUUUCAUUUCCAAUUAGGUCGGUAAUGGUUGGUGACAAUGAUGGAUUAGAAAGAAAAACAAGUUAUAUUUAU